Molecule: ribosomal RNA, 660 nt
Filed under: uncultured bacterium
Lineage: Bacteria
Description: bacterial SSU rRNA
Rfam family: Bacterial small subunit ribosomal RNA
Source: RNAcentral
AGUGGCGGACGGGUGAGUAACGCGUGAGAAUCUGCCUUCAGGUCGGGGACAACAGAGGGAAACUUCUGCUAAUCCCGGAUGAGCCUUAGGGUAAAAAAUUUAUUGCCUGGAGAUGAGCUCGCGUCUGAUUAGCUAGUUGGUAAGGUAAAAGCUUACCAAGGCAACGAUCAGUAGCUGGUCUGAGAGGAUGAGCAGCCACACUGGGACUGAGACACGGCCCAGACUCCUACGGGAGGCAGCAGUGGGGAAUUUUCCGCAAUGGGCGAAAGCCUGACGGAGCAAGACCGCGUGGGGGAGGAAGGCUCUAGGGUUGUAAACCCCUUUUCUUUGGGAAGAACAAAAUGACGGUACCAAAGGAAUCAGCCUCGGCUAACUCCGUGCCAGCAGCCGCGGUAAUACGGAGGAGGCAAGCGUUAUCCGGAAUGAUUGGGCGUAAAGCGUCCGCAGGUGGCAAUGUAAGUCUGCUGUCAAAACCCAGGGCUCAACUCUGGUCAGGCAGUGGAAACUACAUAGCUAGAGUUCGGUAGGGGCAAAGGGAAUUCCCGGUGUAGCGGUGAAAUGCGUAGAGAUCGGGAAGAACAUCGGUGGCGAAAGCGCUUUGCUAGACCGAAACUGACACUCAGGGACGAAGCUAGGGGAGCGAAUGGGAUUAGAUACCCC